GGAAAUUCUAUAAAAAUAGCAAGCACUCAUAGUCAUAGAGGGAUAGACGUUAAAAGCAUAGCAGCCCUCAAGGCUAAAAGCAGAAACCUUCUUCUAGCCAUCAAGGAAUUCCUAUAAUGGGAAUGAAACGGUAGAAGUCGAAGGGUGGCAGUGCUGGCAGGGCCGGAGCCCCUGGAGCAAAAGGGCCGACGGUUUUCGAUGUUCCGAUAGCCGGAGAUGACCGAUUGCCAACCAUCUUCUUAUUAUUUUGGUGCUCAGUUAUAGAGGGGCAAGAUGUAGUGAAAAAGGUGAGAGAGGUGGCUAAACUGUACGAGUCCGACGCUUCCAACUUGACCAUCUUCGACACCAUGUUUCUCUUCAAGGCACAGAGCUGUUCUGGCCCUCCGAGGAGGACUGCAAAGCAGCUUGAAGACGAAGAACGGUUGGCUGGAACCUCGAGCUCGAAGUAGCCA
RNAcentral lists this unclassified non-coding RNA (452 nucleotides) under Hevea brasiliensis (rubber tree). Lineage: Eukaryota; Viridiplantae; Streptophyta; Magnoliopsida; Malpighiales; Euphorbiaceae. The record is from RNAcentral.